AAGACCUUGCGCUUUUGGAGCGGCCGAUGCCUGAUUAGCUUGUUGGUAAGGUAAAAGCUUACCAAGGCUUCGAUCAGUAGCUGGUCUGAGAGGACGACCAGCCACACUGGGACUGAGACACGGCCCAGACUCCUACGGGAGGCAGCAGUGGGGAAUUUUGGACAACGGGCGCAAGCCUGAUCCAGCCAUGCCGCGUGAGUGAAGAAGGCCUUCGGGUUGUAAAGCUCUUUCAGCCGGGAAGAAAAGGUUGCGAUUAAUAAUCGCAAUUUAUGACGGUACCGGAAGAAGAAGCACCGGCUAACUACGUGCCAGCAGCCGCGGUAAUACGUAGGGUGCGAGCGUUAAUCGGAAUUACUGGGCGUAAAGGGUGCGCAGGCGGUUUUGUAAGUCAGAUGUGAAAUCCCCGGGCUUAACCUGGGAACU
This 423-nucleotide ribosomal RNA is filed under the name uncultured bacterium. Its description in RNAcentral is "bacterial SSU rRNA". It matches the Rfam family "Bacterial small subunit ribosomal RNA", at positions 207 to 622 of the family's 1533-position model. The record is from RNAcentral.